Molecule: non-coding RNA, 93 nt
Organism: Mycena alexandri
Lineage: Eukaryota; Fungi; Basidiomycota; Agaricomycetes; Agaricales; Mycenaceae
Source: the annotation of a GenBank genome assembly
GCCUGUGUGGCUCAACGGUUAGAGUGUCCUGUUGUGGUCAGUGGUGUGUAGUAUUUCAUGAGGACGGCGCGGGUUCGACUCCCACUGCGGGCA